AUGGCCGCCGCCGCCGCCUCCGCGGAGGCCGCCGCCAUCACGCGGCGCCUGGCCUCCUGCAACACCGGCGCCCGCGAGCGCGCCGUCCGCCACCUCCUCGCCGACUUCCUCCCCGCCUCCGCGCCGCACCUCUCAGCCACCGACCUCCUCAAGCUCUGGAAGGGCCUCUUCUUCUGCUUCUGGCACGCCGACAAGCCGCUCUACCAGGCCGACCUCGCCUCCCGCCUCGCCGCCGCCGUCUCCGCCGCCGCGACGCCCGCCGCCGCCGCCGACUUCCUCGCCGCCUACCUCGCCACCAUCCGCCGCGAGUGGUCCGCCAUCGACGUCCACCGCCUCGACAAGUUCUACCUCCUCAACCGCCGCUUCCUCCACCACGCCUUCCUCUUCCUCGGCGCCCGCUCCUUCGCGCCCGACGUCACCGCCCAGAUCGUCUCCGUCAUCUCGGAGAAGGCCGUCCUACCGGAGGCCGACAACGCCACCGGUCGUGGGCUCGGGUACCAUGUCGCCGAUGUGUUCCUCGACGAGAUCUUGCCCGUGCUCCCGGUUAGCUUGCAGUCGAUGGAGCUGCUGUUGGCCCCCUUCUUCACUGUGCUGGAGAAGUCGACCGACAGGGUGCUGGUGAGUAAGGUUAGGUCCAGCUUGUUUGAGAGGUUUCUGGAGAGCGGCAGUCAGCUGCUUGAGAUGGCGAGGAAAGGAGAAGGGGUGGAGAAGGGGAGCGUGGAGGAGAAGCUUGGAAAGGUCGGGCUGUUGUUUGGAUUCAGCAAGAGGUUCCUGGAUAUCGGGGCGAGUGCUGAGACAGUGCAGGGAAAUCGGAAGGUGGUGUUUGGGCUGAGGGAUGCCUUUGUUAAGCUCGAAAAGGGAUUGGAGCUGUCUGGGGUUAAGAUCUCUGAGCCAGAGUUUCAGGGCACUCAGGUGCCAAUGGUGGCAGUGGUAGAAAAUGGCAUGGAUUUGGAUGAGGCAAAGGUGGAAAAGAAGAGGAAGAAGAAGAAGGCAAAGAAGGCUGCAUUAGUUGAAGGUGGGGAGGAGGAGGAGAUCAAGGCUCUGAAGCAAGAGAAGAAGGUGAAGAAAGACAAGAACAAGAAGGAGAAAAAAGAAAAGAAGAAGAAAAAUAAGGUUGAGGAUAGUGAUGGAGGGGAUAGCAGUGAGCAGAGUAUAGAUGCCACAUCAGAGGACCAGCAGAUGGGCGAUGACCCUGAUGCCAUUACAUUUGAUGAGGCUUUGAUGUCCAAUCUUCAAAAGCAGUUUGAGAAGGCUGCCGCAGAAGCUGGGAUGCCGGUGACACCAGUUACUGCUAAAGUGGCAAAGAAGAGGAAGCGCUCAAAAUCUUCUGAUAGGUCAUCAGAAGUUUCUGGUGGAGGUGUGGGUAGCGAAGGUAAUGUUCCUGCUCAGGAUGGAGAUAAGAGUGGUAAGAAAGUGAGGUUCUCAAUGAAGAGUAAUCUAGUUUGGAACCCUCCUACUCCUUUACCACCACAGUGCUUGAGGCUCCCACCAUCUGCUACUCCAAGAGGGAGUGCACUAAAAAGUGGAGUUCGGCCUGGGCCUAUAAAGGAAAGCUCCACGCCGGUGAAGAAGGCCAAGGCAAAAGCAAAGUCUGCAAAGAAGAUGUUGAAGAAGAGCCCUUCCUCGGCUGUGAAGCGCUUGCGGAAGUUGCAAACCUUCUCCGCGUGA
RNAcentral lists this ribosomal RNA (1668 nucleotides) under Triticum aestivum (bread wheat). RNAcentral describes it as "partial small subunit ribosomal RNA". Lineage: Eukaryota; Viridiplantae; Streptophyta; Magnoliopsida; Poales; Poaceae. The record is from RNAcentral.